This 778-nucleotide long non-coding RNA is filed under the name Olea europaea subsp. europaea. Lineage: Eukaryota; Viridiplantae; Streptophyta; Magnoliopsida; Lamiales; Oleaceae. The record is from RNAcentral.
UUUGUAGAAACUAUUUCAAUCGGGCAAUCUCAUCUGCAUCAUUACUAAUGAUUACAAUAUCAUCUACAUAAAUUACAAGGGUAACAUAGCCUGCAUUAGUUCGAAGAUGAAAUAUUAAAUGAUCUGUCUAACACUUCUAAAGACCAAAUUUUAGAACCUCGAGAAACUUCCCAAACCAUGUCCUAAGUGAUUGCUUUAAUCCAUAUAAAGACUUUUUCAACUUACAUAGUUCUGAUACUCUCCAUGAGCGACAAACGUAGGAGGUUGCUCCUACAAACCUCUUCGUGUAAUUCACCACGAGGGAAAUUAUUUUUAAUAUCUAAUUAAAACAGUGGCCAACCAAUGGAAACCAAAACACGAAUAGAGAUCUUAGCAACUAGAGAGAACAUUUCACCAUAAUCAAUGUCAUAGGUCUCUAUGUAACCUUUAGCAAUCAGUCGAGUUUUCAAUAGAUCAAUAGUCUCAUCAGGAUUGAAUUUUGAAACAUAGACCCAUCUAUUACCAACAGAUGUAUUCCAAAUGAUGAAGGAACAAGGUCUUGUCUUAUUCUCGUGCAAAGCUAUCAUUUCUAAUUCCAUAGCCUUUCGUCACUUGGGAUCAUAUAAAACUUCUGUCAAUGUAGGGAUGAGAAACAUGAAAACGAAGGUGACAAUGAAUAAAAAAUGACAUAGUGAUUUAUAGAAUGUUUAGUUACACAAGUAUGUGUAACCUUUACGGUGGGCAAUGGCAAUGACUCACAAUCAGGAUAGAUGACGAAUGUACGAUCUGUAGACAGUGA